AUACGGAGGGUGCAAGCGUUAAUCGGAAUUACUGGGCGUAAAGCGUGCGCAGGCGGUUUGUUAAGUCUGUUGUGAAAUCCCCGAGCUCAACUUGGGAAUUGCAAUGGAUACUGGCAAGCUGGAGUACGGUAGAGGAAGGUGGAAUUCCCGGUGUAGCAGUGAAAUGCGUAGAGAUCGGGAGGAACACCAGUGGCGAAGGCGGCCUUCUGGACCAGUACUGACGCUCAUGCACGAAAGCGUGGGGAGCAAACAGGAUUAGAUACCCUGGUAGUCCACGCCCUAAACGAUGCGAACUGGAUGUUGGGUACAUUACGGUACUCAGUGUCGAAGCUAACGCGUUAAGUUCGCCGCCUGGGGAGUACGGUCGCAAGACUGAA
This 377-nucleotide ribosomal RNA is filed under the name uncultured bacterium. RNAcentral describes it as "bacterial SSU rRNA". It matches the Rfam family "Bacterial small subunit ribosomal RNA", at positions 523 to 898 of the family's 1533-position model. The record is from RNAcentral.